Molecule: long non-coding RNA, 740 nt
Organism: Sipha flava (yellow sugarcane aphid)
Lineage: Eukaryota; Metazoa; Arthropoda; Insecta; Hemiptera; Aphididae
Exons: 5
Source: RefSeq, a predicted model, not a curated record
AAUGUUAAACGCGGACAAGUCACCUACGGCCCCUCUCGCAAGGACUCGAAAACCGUCUAAAAGGCUUCGAGAUUUCGCCUCGUCCUUCUUUUGUCUUCCGUUCUUAUCAACACGAUUUUUUUUUUCAUUUUUCUCUUCUCUCCGACUACGAUCCAGUUAAUCCGUAUCGGGAAAAUAUCUUAAACAUUAUAGGCCGCGAUCAUCAUUGCACUAUCGUGCGUAUGCUUUCUAUACACGGUCAUAACAGUGUACGAUACAAAUCGGUUUUCUUCUCCUCUCUACGUUUCCGACGGAGAACGGUUAAACCGUUUUUUCUUUCUGCACAGUCGUCUCGCAGUCCAUUCAAAGGCGAUUAUUUUACUUUGAUUACAAGCAGAGAUGGAGCACGCGCGAGUUCAUCUCUCGGAAAUGUAAUAGAUAAAUGUGGACUGGAAGGUGUGCAUGUAUUUAAAUAGGAUCCGGAUGCGUUUGUACUUCUUUUUCUGCUCAAUCCGAUCGUGAUCACGUUUACAGAUAUUCGACCCGAGUUGAAAAUCCCGAACAUUGAAUAAUAUUCAACGCGAUCGCACUCUUCCGAUCAUGGAGAAACUCGGAGUCUUGUUUGCGUGAUUUCAACCGGACAGAUGUUGGAUGAACGUGAUACGAUACGCAUCUGAUAAAGUUGCGUACUUUUUUCUAAGGGCAGUUCAAAUUUUUCUAAAAAAUAAGUACCAAAAGAAGGCCAUUCGAAGGAUUAUUAU